Molecule: long non-coding RNA, 940 nt
Organism: Culex quinquefasciatus (southern house mosquito)
Lineage: Eukaryota; Metazoa; Arthropoda; Insecta; Diptera; Culicidae
Exons: 3
Source: RefSeq, a predicted model, not a curated record
UGAUCAGCUGUUUUCAUUGAAGCUUGUUUGGAAAAGCACUUUUAGCAUACAAGUGUCCUGUUAAAGUUUACUGACUUUGCGGAAAAUGAUAAUUUUUGAUAUGUAUUUUGUCCCGAGCAUGAAAUGUAUGAUGUUUAUGCAUUUUAUGGACCAAAUCAGCCUAAAUAUAAUAUCAUAAACAAACCAUAAACCAGCCGUCGCCCCAAACACUCUGUCAGCCGCCCGUUUUGACAGCUCACGCACACCGGCGCAGGGUGGCACCAAUACAGGCGCGAAAAAUGAAAGAAAUUAACUUGCAGUUGUGGAAUGGCGAACAGUAUAAAUUUGAACUUCGACGAUGCAGGAUUUCUCUGAAAAAUCAAUUUUCCCCCUAGGUCGUGGAACGGUAGUGUUGUCAGUGUUGUGCGGUUUUAUAGUGAAUGGUUCUGUGGAUCUGCUGGCAGCUGCCCUUCUUAUCACCACCAGCAGGAGCAGCUUUUCAAGUGCACAGGAGGGAGAGGGGCGGCGUACUCGGGUGGCCGGUGGAAAGCCGAAGGUGAAGCUCAAGUGGCCGGGCUACGGUGCUACCGGAAGUGGAACCAUUUUUUUCUCCGGAAAGUUCUGAGCGGGCUAGAAUAGAAUUUUGCUGUGCGCAUGGUUGACGGAUUGCGGUAGAAUUUUUUUUUACUGUGAUGCUCCGCAUGGAAAAUGGAGGAAAUUGAUGUCCCGUAGACGACCGACAUGUUGGCGCUCGACCGGAAGUGGCUCGUCGGAAGAAAAGCAGGCCAGCUGCAGUGUCAGAAGGUUCCGCAGCAGGGGAGAUCGUUGAAUGUUACCAUUCAGUAGAGUUGUAAUAGCUGUUUGAAAACUGCGCCCACAGCAUGACUUCACGCUUGGACCGGUUGUUUAUCCUGCUGGAGUCGGGAUCGGCAGCGGUCACCCGGAAGGCGGCGGCGAGGUC